GAUGAACGCUGGCGGCGUGCCUAAUACAUGCAAGUCGAGCGAACGGACGAGAAGCUUGCUUCUCUGAUGUUAGCGGCGGACGGGUGAGUAACACGUGGAUAACCUACCUAUAAGACUGGGAUAACUUCGGGAAACCGGAGCUAAUACCGGCUAAUAUUUUGAACCGCAUGGUUCAAAAGUGAAAGACGGUCUUGCUGUCACUUAUAGAUGGAUCCGCGCUGCAUUAGCUAGUUGGUAAGGUAACGGCUUACCAAGGCAACGAUGCAUAGCCGACCUGAGAGGGUGAUCGGCCACACUGGAACUGAGACACGGUCCAGACUCCUACGGGAGGCAGCAGUAGGGAAUCUUCCGCAAUGGGCGAAAGCCUGACGGAGCAACGCCGCGUGAGUGAUGAAGGUCUUCGGAUCGUAAAACUCUGUUAUUAGGGAAGAACAUAUGUGUAAGUAACUGUGCACAUCUUGACGGUACCGAAUCAGAAAGCCACGGCUAACUACGUG
RNAcentral lists this ribosomal RNA (497 nucleotides) under uncultured bacterium. Its description in RNAcentral is "partial 16S ribosomal RNA". It matches the Rfam family "Bacterial small subunit ribosomal RNA", at positions 28 to 507 of the family's 1533-position model. The record is from RNAcentral.